This 460-nucleotide ribosomal RNA is filed under the name uncultured bacterium. RNAcentral's name for it is "partial 16S ribosomal RNA". It matches the Rfam family "Bacterial small subunit ribosomal RNA", at positions 338 to 795 of the family's 1533-position model. The record is from RNAcentral.
CCUACGGGUGGCAGCAGUGAGGAAUAUUGGUCAAUGGACGAGAGUCUGAACCAGCCAAGUAGCGUGAAGGAUGACUGCCCUAUGGGUUGUAAACUUCUUUUAUAUGGGAAUAAAAUGUUCCACGUGUGGGAUUUUGUAUGUACCAUAUGAAUAAGGAUCGGCUAACUCCGUGCCAGCAGCCGCGGUAAUACGGAGGAUCCGAGCGUUAUCCGGAUUUAUUGGGUUUAAAGGGAGCGUAGGUGGAUUGUUAAGUCAGUUGUGAAAGUUUGCGGCUCAACCGUAAAAUUGCAGUUGAAACUGGCAGUCUUGAGUACAGUAGAGGUGGGCGGAAUUCGUGGUGUAGCGGUGAAAUGCUUAGAUAUCACGAAGAACUCCGAUUGCGAAGGCAGUUCACUGGACUGAAACGGACACUGAGGCACGAAAGUGUGGGUAUCAAACAGGAUUAGAUACCCUUGUAGUC